UACUGUUGAGAUUUCGGGUACUAGUACAAAAAAGAUGGGAAAGCUUCUUUCUAAAUACUUACGGUCUGAAUGGGCGAAUAUGCAUGUGCAAAAUUAAUUCACAAGGAAAACCUGCUGAAUAAUCUGGAAGUCUGCUUCAACUGAACCGUCAUGUUGAAGUCCGUUUGCUCAGCCCCGGGAGAGAAAGACCUUUGCCCACUGAAGAAAGGGAAGAUGUACGAGCCACUGUGAAAGCCAGAUGGUGUGGAGUUCUUUUUUAAGAGGCCAGGAAUAUCACCAUCUUCUGAAGGAGGCAAUGUUUUGGGACAAUUUUCGUCUUCAGCUUUCAAGAGUCAAGGAAGAUAUAUAACCUUAGAUCCAGGACCUUUUGAGGAAUGGACAAAAUAUGACAGAGACAAGAUACUAAGCCAGAGAGAAGUUAAAGAACCUGUUCGUGUCCAUAGUAUUCCAAGUUCACACAGUUCUGAGAGAAAAAGGAUCUCCGCUUAAAUGGGACGGCUUUGUUGAGUCUUGCUUUCAAGCAAAGUGCAGCUUACCUGGUGAAAGGACAAGGGCCUCCGAGAUUUAUCAGCUCGGCAGCGUCAUCCAGGACCCAGAUCUGCCCAUCUUUCUGCUCCCCUGUCCUCGGCACACGGCUAGGCACAGCCCUGCCACCUCACCACUGGACGUUGUCCACUCUAGUUUCAAGCAUCACAGGUGUUCAAGGUGACAUUCCCCAAAGACAAAGGAGCACGUAUGGCUCCGUGACGUUUCUGGGUUAGGAGAGAAAAAAACACUUCCAGGAAGGUGCCCCUGCAGGUGUCGGUGUUAUGUCUCAUUGGCUGCAGUUGUGUCUCGGGUCCAGCCCAGAAUGACUCAAUGUCAGGGGGGUAAAAUGAUUAUGAUUGGCUUACAGUCAUUCAUGUUUACCUCCUGGGGCUGAGCACUUCCCCACAGUGCAUGAAAAUGGGAGCACCUGAACUAAAGUAGGCAAGGAAAGUGGGGGAGGCCACCAGCAUCCCUCCCACGCUUGUCCUGGGCAAAGCUUAGGUGUGGAGUCACCUCCUCCCCGGCACCCCCCACUUCCUCCUCUCCUGGCACCAGGAAUCAUCUGUACUUAUUUUGUUAAUUUGAUUAUUGCUUUUUUUUUUUUUUUAAACUUCCUGAAACUCUGUAAGAGUAGGGACUGUUGUAUCCUUGGUACUAAGCACAAUGGAGAUGAGUAGUAAGUAUUUUUACUAAUAAUACAAAAAAGGAAUUAUAUAAUUCACAGUGUCAUCAAACAUUAAUCUCUCUAUUGGGAAGAAAUGAAACCUUCCCUAAAAAGAGCUUCUUUUUUUUUUCCAGCUUAUAAAAGAAACAUGAUGUAAUAAUACCCCAAUGAGGGUACAUUGUUCCCAAAGUCUUGAAUCACUGGAUACGGCUGAUCUGAAAUUCACUGAACAACUGUGCCUUAGUCAGGCUCCUGGCGGGAGGCAAACAGCUCAGCAUGCUCUGAGUGAAUUGAAGGGGUUUGGAUGGAGAGCCCCGGUGUAGGGCGAAGCAAAAAGCAAGGGAUGGGAACGGGGUUCCUGUAGGAAACAGUUGUCACAACCAAGAGAGUCGGUGGAAGAGAGUUUAAUGAUGAACUGUUGCAUCACCAAGAGGCUGGUAACUGCUGAAAGCUGUUAGCUCAGUCGGGCUUGAAGGACGGUGGAGAGGAGGCUGUUCCGGGGACGAGAGAAGCUGUAGCAGAGGGAGAACACCCGCACGAUGGGAGCGUUCGAUGCAGGGCUUUAGUUUUGGACUCGAGACUGUGGUAAUUGAAGAUUUCUGCUUCUGGCCAUGAUGGAUUAGUGUGCAGCUGACUAAACCCAAAGCCAAGAACACAAGAGAAGAAUCCUCUGGACUCCCUGAGAAAGAGCCUGAGCUGACCCUCUGGGGUAUGAGAGGCUGCGGGGAAGAGAAGGGAAGCCAGACAGCCCCCCAGAAGGAGAGAGAACCCGCUGACCCGCAGCCACCCUCAACAGAAGAGAGAGCCCAGUGGCCUGUAGAU
This is a long non-coding RNA of Mustela erminea (ermine), 2014 nucleotides long. RefSeq lists it as uncharacterized. Lineage: Eukaryota; Metazoa; Chordata; Mammalia; Carnivora; Mustelidae. The transcript has 7 exons. The record is from RefSeq and is a predicted model, not a curated record.